GAUGAACGCUGGCGGCGUGCCUAAUACAUGCAAGUCGAGCGAACAGACGAGGAGCUUGCUCCUCUGACGUUAGCGGCGGACGGGUGAGUAACACGUGGAUAACCUACCUAUAAGACUGGGAUAACUUCGGGAAACCGGAGCUAAUACCGGAUAAUAUAUUGAACCGCAUGGUUCAAUAGUGAAAGACGGUUUUGCUGUCACUUAUAGAUGGAUCCGCGCCGCAUUAGCUAGUUGGUAAGGUAACGGCUUACCAAGGCAACGAUGCGUAGCCGACCUGAGAGGGUGAUCGGCCACACUGGAACUGAGACACGGUCCAGACUCCUACGGGAGGCAGCAGUAGGGAAUCUUCCGCAAGGGGCGAAAGCCUGACGGAGCAACGCCGCGGGAGUGAUGAAGGUCUUCGGAUCGUAAAACUCUGUUAUUAGGGAAGAACAAAUGUGUAAGUAACUAUGCACGUCUUGACGGUACCUAAUCAGAAAGCCACGGCUAACACGUG
RNAcentral lists this ribosomal RNA (496 nucleotides) under uncultured bacterium. Its description in RNAcentral is "partial 16S ribosomal RNA". It matches the Rfam family "Bacterial small subunit ribosomal RNA", at positions 28 to 507 of the family's 1533-position model. The record is from RNAcentral.